This 253-nucleotide ribosomal RNA is filed under the name uncultured bacterium. RNAcentral's name for it is "partial 16S ribosomal RNA". It matches the Rfam family "Bacterial small subunit ribosomal RNA", at positions 524 to 776 of the family's 1533-position model. The record is from RNAcentral.
UACGGAGGUGGCGAGCGUUACUCGGAUUUAUUGGGUGUAAAGGGCAAGUAGGCGGCUAUGUAAGUUGAAGGUGAAAUCCUCAGGCUCAACCUGAGAACUGCCUUCAAAACUACAUUGCUUGAGACCAGAAGAGGAAAGCGGAAUUCCCGGUGUAAGGGUGAAAUCUGUAGAUAUCGGGAGGAACACCAGUGGCGAAAGCGGCUUUCUAGUCUGGUUCUGACGCUAAUCUGCGAAAGCUAGGGGAGCAAACAGG